Molecule: ribosomal RNA, 301 nt
Filed under: uncultured bacterium
Lineage: Bacteria
Description: partial 16S ribosomal RNA
Rfam family: Bacterial small subunit ribosomal RNA
Source: RNAcentral
CAGCGCCACGGUAAAACAGAGGGUGCGAGCGUUAAUCGGAUUUACUGGGCGUAAAGCGUGCGUAGGCGGCUUCUUAAGUCGGAUGUGAAAUCCCUGAGCUUAACUUAGGAAUUGCAUUCGAUACUGGGAAGCUAGAGUAUGGGAGAGGAUGGUAGAAUUCCAGGUGUAGCGGUGAAAUGCGUAGAGAUCUGGAGGAAUACCGAUGGCGAAGGCAGCCAUCUGGCCUAAUACUGACGCUGAGGUACGAAAGCAUGGGGAGCAAACAGGAUUAGAUACCCCUGUAGUCCCUGUCUCUUAUACA